GGUGGGCUCCACCCAGUUGGAGCUUCCCGGCUGCUUUGUUUACCUAAGCAAGCCUAGGCAAUGGUGGGCGCCCCUCCCCCAGCCUCGCUGCCGCCUUGCAGUUUGAUCUCAGACUGCCCUGCUAGCAAUCAGCGAGACUCCGUGGACGUAGGACCCUCCGAGCCAGGUGCAGGAUAUGAUCUCCUGGUGCGCCGCUUUUUUAAGCCCGUCGGAAAAGCGCAGUAUUCGGGUGGGAGGGACCGGAUUUUCCAGGUGCCGUCUAUCACCCCUUUCUUUGACUAGGAAAGGGAACUCCCUGACCCCUUGCACUUCCUGAGUGAGGCAAUGCCUUGCCCUGCUUCGGCUCCCGCUAGGUGCGCUGCACCCACUGACCUGCGCCCACUGUCUGGCACUCCCUAGUGAGAUGAACCCAGUACCUCAGAUGGAAAUGCAGAAAUCACCCGUCUUCUGCGUCGCUCACGCUGGGAGCUGUAGACCGGAGCUGUUCCUAUUCGGCCAUCUUGGCUCCUCCCGACAUUCGAUGUUUCACCAUCAAGUAUGACAUUAGCUAAAAUUCAACAGCAAUACAAAUUAACCUUUGGAAAAUCUUUCCUGGGUUUUAUGUUUGUGUGAAAUGCCCCUUUACUAAACUGGAAGAUGUGUAAGAUGGAAGAAGAGGUUCUGCUGGAUAUGGAGAAAUUGGAACCCUUGUACAUGUGGAAAUGUAAAAUGGUGCAUUAGGAAAACAGUUUCAACGGUCCUCAAAGUGGUAAACAUAGAGUUACCAUAUGACUGAGAAAUUUUACUCCCAGGUAUAUACCCAAGAUAAAUAAAA
This 814-nucleotide long non-coding RNA is filed under the name Homo sapiens (human). RNAcentral's name for it is "HSALNT0059058". Lineage: Eukaryota; Metazoa; Chordata; Mammalia; Primates; Hominidae. The record is from RNAcentral.